AACGAACGCUGGCGGCAUGCCUAACACAUGCAAGUCGAACGAGAUCUUCGGGUCUAGUGGCGCACGGGUGCGUAACGCGUGGGAAUCUGCCCUUUGGUUCGGAAUAACAGUUGGAAACGACUGCUAAUACCGGAUGAUGACGAAAGUCCAAAGAUUUAUCGCCAGAGGAUGAGCCCGCGUAGGAUUAGCUAGUUGGUGUGGUAAAGGCGCACCAAGGCGACGAUCCUUAGCUGGUCUGAGAGGAUGAUCAGCCACACUGGGACUGAGACACGGCCCAGACUCCGACGGGGGGCAGCAGUGGGGAAUAUUGGACAAUGGGCGAAAGCCUGAUCCAGCAAUGCCGCGUGAGUGAUGAAGGCCUUAGGGUUGUAAGCUCUUUUACCCGGGAUGAUAAUGACAGUACCGGGAGAAUAAGCUCCGGCUAACUCCGUGCCAGCAGCCGCCGUAA
RNAcentral lists this ribosomal RNA (448 nucleotides) under uncultured bacterium. RNAcentral describes it as "partial 16S ribosomal RNA". It matches the Rfam family "Bacterial small subunit ribosomal RNA", at positions 29 to 523 of the family's 1533-position model. The record is from RNAcentral.